This 681-nucleotide ribosomal RNA is filed under the name Bacillus sp. sanandaj 4. RNAcentral describes it as "bacterial SSU rRNA". It matches the Rfam family "Bacterial small subunit ribosomal RNA", at positions 28 to 697 of the family's 1533-position model. The record is from RNAcentral. Lineage: Bacteria; Bacillati; Bacillota; Bacilli; Caryophanales; Bacillaceae.
GACCAGGGCGGCGUGCUAAUACAUGCAAGUCGAGCGGACAGAAGGGAGCUUGCUCCCGGAUGUUAGCGGCGGACGGGUGAGUAACACGUGGGUAACCUGCCUGUAAGACUGGGAUAACUCCGGGAAACCGGAGCUAAUACCGGAUAGUUCCUUGAACCGCAUGGUUCAAGGAUGAAAGACGGUUUCGGCUGUCACUUACAGAUGGACCCGCGGCGCAUUAGCUAGUUGGUGGGGUAAUGGCUCACCAAGGCGACGAUGCGUAGCCGACCUGAGAGGGUGAUCGGCCACACUGGGACUGAGACACGGCCCAGACUCCUACGGGAGGCAGCAGUAGGGAAUCUUCCGCAAUGGACGAAAGUCUGACGGAGCAACGCCGCGUGAGUGAUGAAGGUUUUCGGAUCGUAAAGCUCUGUUGUUAGGGAAGAACAAGUGCGAGAGUAACUGCUCGCACCAUGACGGUACCUAACCAGAAAGCCACGGCUAACUACGUGCCAGCAGCCGCGGUAAUACGUAGGUGGCAAGCGUUGUCCGGAAUUAUUGGGCGUAAAGGGCUCGCAGGCGGUUUCUUAAGUCUGAUGUGAAAGCCCCCGGCUCAACCGGGGAGGGUCAUUGGAAACUGGGAAACUUGAGUGAUGAAAAAAACAUUGGAACUCCCCGUGUGGCGUAGAAAAGCGUAAAAAU